CGCCCAACAGCUAGCCCACCUAAACAAUUUCAACUUACCCCUGUUAAUAACCCCUAAAUACCCCAGUAUUUAAAUUAAACAAACCAUUUUUCCCCCUUAGUAUAGGCGAUAGAAAAGGGAUUCUGGCGCAAUAGAAAAAGUACCGCAAGGGAAUGCUGAAAGAGAAAUGAAACAACCCAGCAAAGCUUUAAAAAGCAGAGAUUUAACCUCGUACCUUUUGCAUCAUGAUUUAGCAAGUGUACCCCAAGCAAAGAGCACUUUAGUUUGACGUCCCGAAACUACGUGAGCUACUCCAAGAUAGCCUAUUAAUAGGGCACACCCGUCUCUGUGGCAAAAGAGUGGGAGAAACUUUGAGUAGAGGUGACAAACCUACCGAACCUAGUUAUAGCUGGUUGUCCAAGAAAUGAAUAGAAGUUCAGCCUCUUGGCUCCUCUUUUCACCUUAGUUUGACCCCUAUAGAUGCACCUGAGGAACCGAAAGAGUUAGUCAAAGGGGGUACAGCCCCUUUGAAUCAAGACACAACUUUACCAGGAGGGUAAAGAUCAUA
This 547-nucleotide ribosomal RNA is filed under the name Bathyagonus nigripinnis (blackfin poacher). RNAcentral describes it as "partial 16S ribosomal RNA". It matches the Rfam family "Bacterial large subunit ribosomal RNA", at positions 166 to 1050 of the family's 2925-position model. Lineage: Eukaryota; Metazoa; Chordata; Actinopteri; Perciformes; Agonidae. The record is from RNAcentral.